RNAcentral lists this long non-coding RNA (38035 nucleotides) under Nicotiana benthamiana. Its description in RNAcentral is "long non-coding RNA (NBEN_LNC023748)". Lineage: Eukaryota; Viridiplantae; Streptophyta; Magnoliopsida; Solanales; Solanaceae. The record is from RNAcentral.
UAAUUGCGUCAAAGUCACUAAUUAUCAGUGUUGUGCAAAAACCAACACCACCACAAGGUUCCCAAGAGAGAUCCGACCAAACCCCAGCAAACUCCACCGGAAAACUGCCCUUCACGCGUCAGAUUUAUCAAGGUAGUCCGACUCACGCGCCCCACGCGCCGGCGCGUGAGCACUGUUCCGGUGAGAUUUUGACGAAGGUUCUUCAGGGCAGUUGGAUCGCCCUCAAAUUCCGAGCCUACCCAUAUUUUUACUUUUUAAUUCCGACCACUUUGAAGUUUUCCGGCAUCUACAGUGAUUUAUUCCGGGAUCUACAGUAAUUUUUCGGCAAAAACAGUAUUUCUUUCAUCUGUUUCAGCAAGUUUUCAACUAUGUCUUUGGGACUCGACGCUUUCGGGUCUAGAAACCCGGGUUCGAUGUUAACUACGUAUGUAACAAGCUCGGUACAUAUGAUUUAUAUGCACCAGCUUGAGGGGGAGUGUUAGAAUAUGUAAUAAUUGAACCCUAAUCCAAUGUGUAUUAGGAGUAGCCUAAUCCAAUGUUUAUUAGAAGUAAGUUAGGUUAUGUGUAUUAUAUAUAGGGCUCAUUGUAUCAUAUUUAAUAUCAAGAUAUAUAUUUUUCUCCCGUGCUUUCUCACAGGCACAAAACAAACUACUAAACAGACUGCUACAAUAAAUUUAAAAAAUAAAAUAUUUCCAGUUUAAAAAAAUAUUAUUUGGGGGAUUAAAUCCCAUUAAUUUACACGAAAGUCCGGAAAAUUGUCAAUGUUUUCUUCUAUUUUUUCUUCCGAAACUAGAAAGUUGAUUUCUACUUUUCUUUGAAAAUUUAUGAGUAUUUGCCCCAAAAAAGAAAAAGAGAAAAAAAAAGUAAAUAGAAUUCAACGAACUUUUUAGUUUCCUUUAAUAUAUUAAUUUGAAUGAUAACGCGUAGGACCGAUUAAAGAAAGAAUACCCUCUAUGUCAAAACAUUCAUUCUUAAGAUUAAAAUCCGAAUCCUACAAUUUAAAAUAGAAACAUUAUUUAAGGGUCGUUCGAUGCAUAAGGUAUUUCGUAUAUAUGCAGGUCCAAAAAAGGAUCAAAUCCCAAAAAGUGUGAUAUAAAUAGUUUAUCCCAAUAUAAACAUUAAUAAUAUGUGUCAAUUUGCGCAUAGUUUGUCAUUCAUCAAAACCUACAAAUAUGAACACACGUUUAGUAUAAUGCCUUGAGAACGUGUUUCCAACAGUUCCAACUACUACUAUUGCUGAAUAAUAAAUACAGAAAAUAAAGAACACAAAGAUUUUACGUGGAAAACACCUGGCUCAAAAGGUGAAAAAACCAUGACCUACUACUUAGUAUGAUUUCCCAAACUUCCACUAAAAUCACUAAGCCAAAACACCAUUUACAAAAUCUCUUUGUAAACCUAAGGAUUAACAAUAAUCUCAUUAUAGCAACCAGCCUCUAACUGUUGCGACAACUUCAAGUUAACUCUAACUUGAAUACUCAAAGUACCUUUUACAAUUUCUUCUAUGAAAACUGAAAGGUACAAAUAAAAACACCUACUACAAUUGAACUAGAAAUAAAGAAAGACACAUAAAGCUCUUUAUGGAGCUGGUUUUUCAAUCUGGUUCAUGUAGCUUCAGUUUGCACACUUGGAUCACACACAAACUGCUUGCAAAAAACCUUGCUAUUUUGUUCUCAAUUCACGUUUAACUUCUGCAUUUUUGUGCAACACUUUUAUUGUGAGAACAUCCUGUAAUUAAUAGAGUUAGUAGAUGAAGAAAUAACUAGAGUUCUGAUGCAACUCUUCCUUGGUGGAAGAGUUCUAGUUGAUUUCAACUUCUAACUCCUUCCCUAUCUAGGAUAGUGUUCUUUUUUAUUAAGAACUUCUUCUCCUUAUCAAUUAUGCAACCUUUUUAAUCAGGAGAUAUUUAAUAUACCAAGUUAAGCUUAUCUCCUUCACGUGCAACCCACAUGCUCGAAUCUGCCCGUUUUUUGCACCUGAGUGAUGGACUUAGUUCAUCAUGAGUUCCUUUUACAGGAAAUGUGCAAACUUGUAAAAGAGAACAAACUUAGCUAUUUAUUAGUAAUCAGAGUUUGAUUGAAACUCAAUUGCUGAUCCUCCAUCGAAUUUGAGUCCUAGACCAAUACAAACUCCAACCAUUAUCCUUGAUCAUGAUUGUGUUCUCUUCUCAUUAGGAGACUUCAACUUUCUUCUCCCAUAUGCAAUCUUUUCGAUCAGUUCAGAAGAUAUUGCUGCUCGAUCCCAAAGGCGUAUCUUUUUCACGUGCAUCUCAUGUGCAUAGGCCAUAACAACUGUGUCUCCUAAGAUGGACCCAGUCCUUCACUGAGUUCACUUGUCAUUCUUCAAAACUUCAACUGAGCUUGGGCCAAAAAAUUCUCCCUUUUUGAUGAUGACAAACUCUGUGCUUUUACUGAUCAGAGAACCUAUGGAACUCAGCUAAACAUCAACACAAUGUUAGAAACAUUUUUCCUUUUUAUCAUUUAUCAUCAAGGACCAGGUACAUUCGGUUAUAAACAUCAUUGUUCAAAGUGUAUACAUCACAUGUUCAAAGCACAACCUUUUUCCUUCUUUUGGCAUCACCAAAAAGUUGCCUAACUAUAAACAUCAUUGUUCAAAGUGUAAACAUCACUUGUUUAAAGCACAACCUUUUCCCCCUUUUGGCAUCAUCGAAAAGUUGCAUAAACAUUAUUAGAUAACCAGAUUUUAAAACUUACUCAUGGCCACUGGGGCUUCUUCAAAUGAAAUAAUGGAUUAAUCAUCAUAGAUCAUGCUAAGAAUUUUAACCAUCAAUAAAUAUAAACAAACAGUUAGAGCAAAAAUAGUGAGUUUCAUUGAUGAUUGAUAAGAUUCUACCACAAAGCAUAAGAAGAAAUAAAUAUAUUGAAAACAUGAGCAAAAGAAACAAAACGUCCUGAAUUGGGUCAAUGGUUGAUCUACAUCAGGUCAGGAGUCUUAAGGCAUGGAAGAGGUAGGGUUGAGUUAUUUUCUUGGAGAAGUUUCAGCAUGUCUUGAAAAAUGCCAUCAUUCUUCUCCUUUUCCCUUGCAAGUUCAAUUUUGAGAACAUCUCUCUUAGAUUCUACCUCAACCAAUAGUGUUUUCAGCCUUGUUAUAUCAAUAUCCUUUGCCUUACUCUCAUGUACCAAGAUUGUGACUUUGCUAUUGAUAGGAGUCUUCUUGGAUGAACCAGGUUCAUUAAGCAUGACAUUGACUUCAUAAUCGCAAGCAAGAAGAGUAUUAACCCCAAAAUGAUCCUUUCUUGUACUAACCUCCCACUUCUUCAUAGGUACCUUGAAAUGUACAAGAACAGUUAUGAGAAUGAAAUCAUAGGGAAUGGCAUGAGUUUUGGUGCAAUUGAUAACCCUAUCAGUAAGUCCGCGAGGGAAUCAUGUUCAGAUGGAACGGGUUCAUUUAUAAUUUUUCAAGUUGAACCAAACCUACUUCCCCCUAUUUUACUCACAUUUUAUUCUAUUUUACUAACUUCCUCUCACCAAACAACCAAUGCACAUGCGUCUUUUGGUUAAACUCACAGGAGUGGGUGAAGAAUUAGCCGCUUUUGUACCCUUUUCCCUCAUAGUACUCCUAGCACCUUUGCUCUCUUUUUCUUUUCCUUUUUAUUUUUACCACCAACUUCUCCAGAUUUUUUAGUCUCAAAACCUUCUAUAGAUCCUACCAGUACAAAUUUGUAGCAACUUCAGAAAUUGUCUCAGCUGUAACUUUAGAAACAGAAGAUAAGUGUUUAGUUUCGGAAUACCUACUGUCUUCCCCCUUUGUAGAGGACUUACAUGAAUCUUCAUAUUUCUGGAAUUUUUCUUCCCCACUUGCUUUCAAUUUUUUGUUUAUUUUCUUGGUCUUCUCUCCUUCAGCGACAAUCUUACGAGCCAUCAUCUUUACUCUACUUUUCUUAGAGAUUAGUGUUGUAGAAGGUGUGGAAGUGGUUUUCUAUGGUGGUGAUGAAGGAUUUCCAAAAGUGUAUAACAUAUUUGGGCUAGGGUAUGGAAGAGAAAAAAUUGGAUUGUGUUUGGAAUAUAAAAGAAGAAUGAGAGUUUCUUUUGACGGCUCGAGAGAGGUGAGGUAAGGAAUACACUAAAGCUGACCAAUAUACAAGGGAAUACUUGAUGGGAUAACUGUAGCUUUUCAAAUACUUAGAAGUAUAAUCAAACUAAAAUUUAGUGUUGGAGUGUUUCCCUAGAAUCUAAGUACUUCCAUUCGAUUGAGACUCUUUUAAAUUGGACUGGUUCACUUGUAAGGGAUAAGUCCAAAAAGAGUUUGGUAUUUUGUAGCUACUCUGUUCAUGAUCCAGAUACAAUUAUUUCAAAUUAUACAGAGUGUAGAAAACAUACCGUGUUAUCUUGAUGAAUUAGGUUCUUCGUUAAUAAUUCUCUUGUGUAAGUCUAAAUUUUCCUAAAUAGAUAAAUAUCAUUAUAGAUUAAUGAAUCAUUUUAACACAUGGCACAAGAGUAUACUAUAGAAAGUAUGAGACCGAGCAAGAUUUAUUCUGACUAUACACAAUUUACAGACUUUCUAACCAAAUAUAUAUAUAUUUUUUUCAUUUAACCUUGAACUUUUAGGUGAUCUUAAUCAUCCCUAAUUCCAACAUGUUCCUCUCAAAGUGAUCUGUACUUAAGCUUUUGUGAAGAUAUAAACAAAUUGCUUGUCAGUGGUAGAAAACUCCACAGUGAUCAAGCCUUUCUUAUAGUUGUCUCUCAGAUAAUGGUGUCUAAUAUCUAUGUGUUUAGUUCUCUUAUAAUGAACCAGAUUCUUAGUCAUACUAAUAGCACUAGUGUUAUCACAAAAAUAGGGAUGCAACUGACUUCAAUACCAAAAUCCAUCAAGUGUUGCUUGAUCCACAACAAUUGAGCACAAUCAUGAAGCAACAACAACAUAUUCAGCUUCAGCUGUAGAUAGGACCACUGAAUUUUGCUUUUUAAUAUCCUAUGACACAAGACAUGAACCAAAGAAAUGUUCCAUACCCGAGGUGCUCUUCCUAUCCAUUAGGAAACUUGCAUAAUUAGCUUCAGCAUAUCCCAUUAGGUUAAAGUUACUAACUUUUAGAUAUCUAAGGUAAAGGUCAGUGGUGCCUUUCAAGUAUCUCAAUAUUCUCUUUACAUUAGGUAAGUGGGCUCCUUUGGAUUUGCCUGAAAUCGAGCAUAAAGACCUACACUACACACAAUGUCAGGUCUGCUAGUAGUGAGAUAUAAAAGAGAACCAAUCAUUCCCCUAUACAACUUCUAAUCAACAGUGAACCAGGUUCAUCUAUAUCCAAUUUCGUGGGUAUUGCAAUAGGAGUAUCAAUUUCUUUGGAUGUUCCUUCCUGGUUUAGUUAUUGAGGAAUAGGUUUAUGGACAGGUUCCCUCGAGGUUUGGGGAUCAGUUAUUCUCUAGUCAAUUCCCCAUGUCAUGUUGCCCUCGGUGGAAGAACCUGUUCCAUCACCUAUUCCUUCUUCUGGUGCAGCUUCAUCGAGGCUGUGACUUCAUUUAAUCCUUUUACCAGCCCAAUAGUUUCAUCUUCAAGUUCCUGUCUCUCAGAAAGAAUGUUAGUUUCAUCAAAACUACAUGUAUACUUUCUUCUAAACACAUAGUUCUUUUGUUGUACACUUAAUAUGCUUUUCUAUGUGAAGAAUAUCCCAAGAAUACUCCCUCAUCACUUCUGGAAUCAAACUUUACAUAAGGAGUCUUUGCCAUUAUUGUGCAUAAAGUACUUCCAUCUAAAUGCCCUAAGAUGGAAUAUAUUUAGUUUCUCCCUUUAAGUGACUCAUAGGGAAUCUUCUUAAUGAGAGGUCUAGUCAUGCAAGUACUUGCAUCUAAAUGCCCUAAGAUGGGAUAUAUUUAGUUUAUCCCUUUAAGUUACUCAUGGGCAAUCUUCUUAACAAGAGGUAUAAUAAGGCAAAUAUGAUGUAGCACGCAAGAAUUCAACAAACUUAGCAUUUUGAAAUUCAGUUCCAUGAUCAGACCUAAUUGAUGCAAGUUGAUUACCUAGUUAUUUCUGAUUUUAUUUUUAUUUUAUUUUAACAUAAGAAGCAAACAUGUCAAAUGCUUCAACUUAUGAUAUUAAAAAUAAUGUCCAAGUAAACCUAGAGUAAUCAUCAACAAGCACCAUCACAUAUCUUUUACCACCUCUGCUUAAUAUUCUCAUUGGUCCACAGAUAUCCAUAUGGACCAGUUCUAUCAUUUGGCUUUUAAGAUCACACACUCUCUAGACAGCUCUUCCUUCUCAUUGUUAGUUAUAUCAGACUCAUUGAUGAAGUCCAGCAGUAGUUCAGACAACCUUUCUUUAAACAGAAAUUUAAUCUUGUCUUUGAGUCAAAGGAUCUAACUUGCUUCCCCCUUGCACAAGUCUCACAAAUUUUAUCUUCCUUGAACUUAAUGUUAGGCUGUCCUAUCACCUUAGAGACUAGUUUGUUGAGUUGACUUAGACUGGUAUGUCCAAGUCUCUUGUGCCAAAGGAGGGGAUCAUUGUCCAACACACUUACGCAAGUGAGUGCAUUUUCUGAAAGUGUGGACAAAUCUACAAUGUAUAUAUUAUUUACUCUUUUUCCCUACAAAACAAUCUUGUUAGUGGUAAGAUUAGUCACAGAACAUUUUUUAGAGAGGAAUGCUACCAAGUUACCUCUAUCACACCAUUGUGAUUGUCUUAUUAGGCACUAUUUUAGGCCAUCUAUCAGGUAGACAUUCUCAAUAGUGUGAGAAUCAACCGUACCUACCUUUCAAACCCCAAUGAUCUCACCUUGCUUCCCAUUUCCAAAGGAGACAUCACCUCCUUUGAGGUCCUCAAGUGAAAAGAACCGGUUCUUACUUCCUGUCAUAUGCUUUGAGCAUCCACUACCCAUGUACCAUAUUUGGCUGCUCCACUUCACUUGGACCCACAAAAGGAAAUUAGGGGUUAGUCUUAGGAACUCAAACUAGUUUGGGUCCCGUUCUAUUGGAAAAGGGGUGAAUCAGAUUCUUUUUAGCCCAACCGGGCAGCCUAUUUUUCCCUUGAACAAAUUCUUUAUUCUUUCGACUAACCUUUUCUUUUCUAAUAUAUUCGGAUUUAUAGUGACCAGUUUUACCACAGUGUGUACGAUUUAUGUUCUCAAAAAGUGUGAGGUACUUUCUUUUGGGAUCCCACUUAGGUGUAGGGGUCUCGUAGUCAAGUCAUCUCUUAUUGCUACUAUGGUGUUCAUGUAGCCAUUAAUGUGCCAGAGGACCUAUUCCAUUUACAGGUUCUGUCUAGCUCGUGCUUAACCUUGUAUAGAUCCUCCUUAAGGACUCUUAUUUGCUCAUCCUUUUCGUAAAACUCAUCUUUCAUUUUUCCAACAUUCUCUUCUAAAGUUAGUUGUGUGUGAUCAGCUUUCUUUUUACCAAUUCCUAAUUUCAAUUUUAAAUUUUGAGAUCUAAGCUCUAGGACAGUGGUGUCAAGUUCAUGAACCUGGUUCUCCAACUCAGCAUUUUUGUUAUCACUCAUUUUCCCUAGACUCUAGACCUUUACAUUUUGCUUUUAGAAUCACACAUUCCCUAGACAGAACUUCCUUCUCAUUGUAUAGAUCCUCAUAUUCAUCAAUGAAUUCCAGGAGUAACUCAGAUAGCCUUUCUUUAAUCUUGUCUUUGAGAUGAUUUAUACUUACCUCGGAAUCCUCAUCGGAUUCUCCAAUUGCCAUAAGUGCUUCUUCAUCUCCAUCUUCUCCUCUGAAUCCUCAUCUGAGCUUUCUCCCCAAGCAGCAACCAUAACCUUUGUUGAUCCUUUGUUCUUCUUGAGUUGAACCUAUUGCUUUUUCUUAUUGCUUCGUUCAGCUCUAUCCUUCUUCCAUUCAAUUUCCCGUUGAGGGCAGUUUCUAAUGUGGUGAUCAGUCUUCCCACACUUGUAACACCCCUCAUUGGUUUUCUUUUCAGGAACCCUUGGUUUGCUGUAGCUUCCACUUCUUGAAGGACCAUUUCCUCUCAUUGAGUACUUCUUGAAUUCCUUUGUGAUCAUGGUCAUUUCAUCCUCCUCUAUAUCAGCACCUUUAGUGAUUCUAAAUGCCAUGCACCUUUCCUUCUUGGGUGCAUCCUUCUUCAUGGUUUGCCUUCUAAGUUCAUAGGUUGUGAGAUUUCCAAUUAGCUCGUCCAACUUAAGAGUGGCAAUAUUCUUUGAUUCCUGAAUGGCAGUGAUUUAGCUUUCCCAAGUGACUCGUAAAACCCUUGUCAAAAUUUUCUCAACUUUGUCCUCUUCAAGAAUAACCCUUCCAAGAGACUUAUUUCGCAAGAUUCUACAGAACCCUUGUCAAAAUCUUCUCAACUUUGUCUUCUUCAAGAAUAACCCUUCCAAGAGGCUUAAGUUCAUUUGUCAAUGUGGUGAACCUUGUAUACAUCUUCUGGAUGGUUUCCUCUUCCUCCAUGGUGAAAUUGUCAUAUUGAGAAUAUAGCAAUGUUCCUUUUGAUCUCUUUACUUGAGGAGUUCCUUCAUGAGCCGCUUGUAAAGUGUCCCAUAUUUCCUUGGCAGUGGUGCAGCUUUGAAUUCUACUAUACCGUUUGGACCAAGUCCACACACAAGACAUUUUUGGCCUUAGCAUUCUUAUCCCAUAUCUCAAGUCCUCAGCAUUGAAGUCAGCUCUUGUUUUUGGCACAUCUACUCCUUCAGUAUUCUUCUUCAUGGUAGCUAGGGGAUCAUAAGUGACAAUGUCCCAUAGCUCAUAGUCUUCUCCGAUGAUGUGAUCUCUCUUUCUAUUUUUCCACCAAGAAUAGUAGUGGCUAUUAAAGAGUGGAGGCCUAUCAGUGGAUUUCCCUUCCCAGUUUCCAGAUGGUGCGCUCAUCUUGAUAUGUUCCUAAGGUGUUAGCCUCUUCAAGGAUAACUUGCUCAAUACCAAUUGAUGUUUUAUACGUCAAUAAAACACAAUAGGGGGUGAUUUGUAUGAUACCCAAUUUUUGCUUAAACUGCUUAUGAAGGACCUGGUUCUUCUAUGUGUUCUAAAUACUACUGUUGCGGAAUAAUAAAUAUAGAAAAUAAAGAACAUAGAUGCUUUACGUGGAAAACACCUGGCUCAAAGGUGAAAAAAUAACAACCUACUACUCAGUAGGAUUUUCCCAAACUUCCACUAAAAUCACUGAGCAAAAACAGCAUUUACAAAAACUCUUUGUAAACCGAAUGAUUAACUCUAAUCUCGUUGUGGCAACCAGCCUCUAACUGUUGCGAAAACUUCAAGUUAUCUCAAACUUGAAUACUCAAAGUACCUAUUACAAUUGAUUCUAUGAAAGCUCAAAUGUACAAAUAAAAACACCUACUUCAAUUGAACUAGAAAUAAAGAAAGACAUAUAAAGCUCUGUAUGGAGCUGGUUCUUCUAUCUGGUUCAUGUAGCUUCAGGUUUGCAUACUUGGAUCACACACAAACUACUUGCAAAAAGCCUUGCUAUUUUGCUCUCAAUUCACAUUUAACUUCUGUGUUUUUGUACAACACUUUUAUUGUGAGAACAUCCUGCAUUUUAUAGAGUUAAUAGAUGAAGAAAUAACUAGAGUUCUGAUGCAACUCUUCUUUGGUGGAAGAGUUCUAGUUGAUUUCAACUUCUAACUUCUUCCCUAUCUAGGGUAGUGUUCUCUUUGAUUAAGAAAUUCUUCUCCUUAUCAAUUAUGCAACCUUUUCGAUCAAGAGAUAUUAAAUACACCAAGUUAAGCUUAUCUCCUUCAUGUGCAACCCACAUGCUCGAAUCUGCCGGUUUUUGUGCACCUGAGUGAUGGACCUGGUUCAUCCUAAGUUCCUUUUACAGGAAAUGUGCGUACCUGUAAAAGAGAAUAAACCAGCUAUUUAUCAGUAAUCAGAGUUUGAUUGAGACUCAACUGCUUAUCAGUCAUCGAAUUUGAGUCCUAGACCAAUACAAACUCCAAUCCUUAUCCUUGAUCCAGAUUGUGUUCUCUUCUUAUAAGGAGACUUCAACUCUUUAUGCCAUAUGCAAUCUUUUUUAUCAGUUUAGAAGAUAUUCAGAAGAUAUUGCUGCUCAAUCCCAAAGGCUUAUCUUCUUCACGUGCAUCUGAUGUGCAUAGGCCUUAACAAUUGUGUCUCCUAAGAUGGACCUAGUCCUUUACUGAGUUCAUUUUUCAUUCUUCAAAACUUCAACUGAUCUUAGGCCAACAAGAUAUAUCAUCAAUUGUGAAUUACAAAGUUCGGGGAAAUUGCUUCCAUGAAUUUAGUAAGUUCGACAAACGUCAUUGACAAGUUAAUUCCAUAUGGUUCGACUCUGGGAAAAAAUACUUAGAAUAUAUUUGCUAUGUCCGUGCGUGUCUUUUAUAAGGCAUAGUUUGGCGUUAUCAAAUUUUGGCGCCGUUGCAGGGCAAUUAACGGUGUUAUUAAUUACAAUUGAAAGAAGAACAAAAAUUCUUAGUGUAGUAAAGUUUUCUCUCUACCCAAUCUAUUCAUUGAAAUUCUAACAUUUGAACUAUUAUGGAAAUUAGGUGUAUGCCUAUAAGUUCUUUGAGGACUUGAGAAUUGCUAGAAGGACUCUCAGACCCCGAGAAAACAUUCAGGGCAUUGGACCGUGCCAACAAGAGACUUCAACAAUCCCAACAAUCACACCUGGUCGAAGUUGACAUGGGUGACGCUAACAACGUCAUUGGAAACGUUGGGGAUCCACCAGCAAACCCCAACGUGGGAGUAGUGGCAUCUCUUGUGCACGAAGCUGCACUUUAUGAUCGGGCAUAACCCACAACUGAUAACCCGGCCACUGCCAUAGUUGUGCCCGCAAUCCAAGCGUAGACUUUCCAGAUAACCAACAAUAUGCUUCAGAAUAAAGGAUUUUUUUCCGGGUCCCACAUUGAAGACCCUCAGCAACACUUGAAAAAAUUUCUAUCAAUAUGUAUGACCCAAACGCAAUAUAAUAUGACCACGGAAGCUGUCAAGUUGUCAAUGUUCCCAUUCUCUGUGACCGGGGAAGCUCAGACUUGGCUAAAUUCGCUCUCUAUCAAUUCCAUAGCUACCUGGGAGGAAUUAGUCAAGCAGUUCCUGAAUAAGUUCAAUCCGUCCAACAAGACUGCACGCCAGAUUGAUGAAAUAUUUCAGUAUAAGCAGCAACCGACUAAGUAUUUGCAAGAAAUAUGGGACAUAUUAUAGGGAUGCAAGUGAAGUGCCCUCACCAUGGAAUUCCAUACCAAAUCCUUGGCCAGAGAUUCUACAUAGGGUUAGCAUCUAAAGGCAAAUGUGGAUGCUUCAGCUGGAGGUGCAUUUUUUAGUAAGACAUUCACCGAGCGCAAAAUCCUUCUUGACAAGAUGUCACAAAAAUUAGGGUGGAUGAGUAGAGCCACAAAACUGGCACCCAUAGUGCAUUCAAUUCCUCUAGACCCAAAUAAUUCAUAUGCAGAGAAUAUGGCCGCAAUCAUGACCCAUAUGAGCAUAUUGACAAAAAUGAUUGAUGAGAUAGGUACAAAAUAGGUGCACGUUAUUGAUACAACAAAUGGAGGACUGUGUACACCUUGUAUUAAUCAGUCUUAUGUAUGUUCAUGGAGCGCAGAAGGCAAAAUCAAGGGACGAGGAAAGAUAUGAAUUAUGUCAACAACUAUGGGGGUCAAAGACAAGGAGCACAUCAAUGGAGACUGCCACAAAAUCAGAGUAUAGGCCUAACAUGUAACAGCCUGGGGGUAUGCACUCUCAAAACCAAUUGGUACCAGUACCAUAUCAGAAACCGCAGGACUAUCCAUAGCAAAAUCAGUAGCAAUUAACAUAUCAACCACCUCCUCAGCAAGAUAACAACAUGAUAGAAAUCAGAGGAAUGCUUCAGCAACUCAUUGGGACAAAUAAUAAAGUGCAGGAAAAGUUGGUUGUGCAUGAUUCAGCCAUAAAACAUUGAAACACAGCUGGGAUAGCUGUCCAUGGCCCUAAAAAACCUCCCAUAGGGAACUUUUCCAAUAGACACAAACAUAAACCCUAUGGAGCAAAACCCAAAUCAGCUAAUGGCAGUAAGCCUCAGGAAUGAGGGAGAUUUAGACAACGAACAGGAGAUUAUACAAGCCAGUAAAGAGAAUACGACAGUCACCCCAGUGCCAUUAGAGGUGGAGGAACCAACAGAGCUUACUAAAGUAGUGGUUAAGCAGAGUUAGGAGGAAACAAGAAAAGAAGAGACGAAUGAGCAAGCUGCAGAACAGGUGGCACCUCUUGUGCCAGAAAAUUCCAACAGAGAGAAGCCAACAAUCAAUGCACAAAGGGUGAUACCUGCACCCUUCAGAGACUGGUAAAAUAAAAGAAGACAGACCAAUUCAAGAAGUUCAUGGAGAUGUUGCGUUAUAUUCAGCUGAUUAUUCCACUGAUGGAUGCUCUUAGGGAGAUGCCCGGUUAUGCCAAGAUGAUGAAGGAUUUAAUGUCACGGAAGAUUGAUUUUCUGGACCUAUCCACUAUGACUCUGACACAGACCUACAUCGCAGUAGUAACAAGACUGAUGGCGCAAAAGAUUUCAGAUCCAGGUGGCUUCACUAUUCCAUGCACAAUUGGGAGAUAAGCUUUUUCAAAGGUAUCAUGUGAUUUGGGAGCCAGCAUAAAUCCGAUGCCGCUGGCAGUGUACACCAAGCUGGGCAUUGGCAGAGCUAAAAAGACUUCGAUGCUGCUAUAGCUGGCCGAUCGCACGAUGAAAAGGACAACUGGUAUUCUUGAUGAUGUGUUGGUGCAAGUGGGGAAGUUCGUGUUCCUAAACGACUUUGUUAUUCUGGAUUGUCAGGUAGAUGAGGAGAUACCUCUCAUUUUGGGUAGACCAUUUUUGGCCACUGGAAGAGCAUUGAUUUAUUGUGAGACUGGGGAUUAAAAUGAGACUAAAUGAUGAAGAAGUCAUAUUCAAUGUUAAACAAUCUAUGAGGAGACCUAGAUAAUAUGCUAAUUGCUCUCUAGUGGAGGCAGUAGAUGUGAUCCUCCAAGAAGAUGGUAUGACCUUGAUUGUUAAAGAUCCAUUAGAGGCAUGUCUGACAGAUUUAAAAGAGAUGGAUGGUGAAGGGUUAGAUGAAUGGGUCAUGGCACUUGAAGGCCAAGGAUUCUGGAAAAGGGAACAUCAGUUCGAGUCCCUUGAGUUAGGAAAAAAGGCUACACCUCCAGCAAAGUCAUCGAUAGAGGAACCACCUAAGCUGGAGCUGAAGCCACUCCCAAAGCACCUCAGGUAUGUUUUCUUAGGCCAUAAUUCUACCUUUCCAGUUAUUUUAUCAUCCGAUUUGCUAGAUGUGUAGGGUAGAACAACUUUUACAGGUAUUGCAGGAAAGCAAGACUGCCAUCGGCUAGACCAUGGUAGACAUUAAGGGUAUCAGUCCGGCUUUCUGUAUGCAUAGAAUUCUCUUGGAAUAAGAGAAAAAACCUUCCAAAGAAAAUCAAUGAAGGCUAAACCCGAACAUGAAAGAAGUAGUGAAGAAGGAAGUGAUCAAAUGGUUAGAUGUGGGAAUCAUCUUCCCCAUCUCUGAUAGCAACUGGGUCAGCCCUAUCCAAUGUGUGCCUAAAAAGAGGGGAAUGACUGUUGUGCAAAAUGAGAACAAUGAGUUGAUCUCAACUCGUACAGUCACGGAAUGGCAAAUUUGCAUGGAUUACAAAAAUUGAACAUAGCCACCCGGAAGGACGAUUUCCCCUUGCCCUUUAUUGACCAAAUGUUGGACAGGCUGGCCGAGAGAUCAUACUUUUGUUUCUUGGAUGGAUAUUCCAGGUACAAUAAGAUAUCAAUAGCCCCGAGGAUAGAGAGAAAACACCCUUCACCUGUCCAUAUGGCAUCUUUUCCAUCCGGAGAAUGCCUCUUGGGCUUUGCAAUGCCCCAACGACAUUUCAACGGUGCAUGUUAGCUAUCUUCAUAGAUAUGGUGGAGGAUAUUAUGGAAGUUUUAUGGAUGAUUUCUCCGUGGUGGGAGAUUCAUUCGAAGACACUCUUCACAACUUAAGGAGAGUGCAUAAAAGAUGUUUGGAGACAAAUUUAGUGCUGAAUUUGGAGUAGUGCCAUUUUAUGGUACGGGAAGGGAUAGUCUUGGGGAAUCGAGUGUCCAUUAAAGAAAUUGAGGUCGACCAUGCUAAGGUUGACAUGAUUGAGAAGCCACCACUGUCCACUUCAGUCUAGACGGUGAGAAGUUUUCUUGGACACCCGGGUUCUAUCGGUGUUUCAUAAAAGAUUUUUCUGAAAUUCCUAACCCAUUAUGCAAACUCCUUGAAAAGGAUCAGCCCUUUGUGUUUUCUAAUAAUUGCAGGUUGGCAUUUGAGAAAUUGAAGAAGAGGUUGGUAACUGCACCCAUCAUUGUUGCACCCAAUUGGGAGAAACCAUUUGAGCUCAUGUGUGAUGCAAGCAACUAUGCCAUAGGAGCAGUCUUGGGGCAGUGAAAGGAUAAUCUAAUGCACUCGAUUUACUAUGCAAGCAGAAUGCUACGCGUUGCACAAAUCAACUACAUUGUGGAAGAGAAGUAGAUGUUAGCGGUGGUGUUCGCAUUUGACAAGUUCCGAUCAUAUUUGAUUGGCUCCAAGGUAAUUGUAUACACUGACCAUGCAGCUCUCAGGCACUUGAUUGAGAAGAAGGAGUCUAAUAAGCGCUUGAUUCGUUGGGUGCUGUUGUUACAAGAGUUUGACCUUGAAAUUCGUGACCGUAAGAGCACAGAAAAUCAAGUCGCUGAUCAUCUAUCACGACUUGAACUGAAAAAUUAGGCGAGUUUGAACAGAUUCUGGAAACCUUUCCAGAUGAGAAACUGCUUGCAGCUAGUCUUGAGGAAGCGCCAUGGUAUUCUGACCUUGAAAACUACCUGGCAUGCGAUAAAGUUCCCUACGACCUUACAUAUUUCCAAAAGAAAACGUUUUAUCGCGAUCUUAUUUGCUUAGAAUAUUUGCUGAUAAUAUUAUCUGGAGGUGUGUCCCCAAGAUAGACUAAUUUUUGGUUUUGCAGGCUUGUAACGCAUCAGUAUACGGAGGACAUUUUAGAGGGGUAAGGACAGUUGCAAAGUGCUAGAGGCUGGAUUCUUUUGGCCAACUAUGUAUGCAGAUGCGCACCUCUGGGUAAAGGGCUGCAAUGAAUGCCAGCGGUCCGAGAACAUUUCCCGCUGCUAUGAGAUUCCAAUGAACCCGAUUCAGGAGGUAGAGGUGUUUGAUGUUUGGAGGAUUUACUUUAUGGGUCCGUUUUUCAGCUCAUUUGUUGUUGUGGACUACGUGUCUAAAUGGGUAGAGGCUGUAGCGUUGCCCACUAAUGAUGCAAGAGUGGUGGUAGGAUUUCCGAAAAAGAACAUAUUCACCCGGUUUGGAACACCAAGAGCGAUCAUCAGUGACAGAGACACUCAAUUUUGUAAUAGAGACUUCGAGAAAUUGCUUGCAAAAUAUGAUGCACGCCACAAGGUGGCUACCCCUUACCAUCCACAAACUAGUGGGCGGGUUGAAGUGCCUAAUAGGGAGAUAAAGAGUUUACUAACCAAGACUGUAAAUGCCACAUGAACUGAUUGGGCAAAGAAGCUUGAUGACACACUCUAGGCCUAUAGAGCUGCAUUCAAAACACAUAUAGGUAUGUCACCAUACAAGAUGGUAUUUGGGAAGGCAUGUCAUCUUCAUGUGGAGCUAGAACAUUGAUCUUCAUGGGCACUAAAGUAAUUGAACAUGGAUCCUGAUGCAGCUGGACAAAAUCGACUGACAGAUUUUCAUGAGCUAGAAGAACUUAGAUAUUAAGCCUUUGAAAGCAUGAGGCUAUACAAGGAAAGAAUGAAGAAGGUGCAUGACAAACACAUCGUGGACAGGAAUUUCAAACCCGGUGACAAGGUAUUACUGUAUAAUUCAAGGUUUAGAUUUUUUCCGUGUAAGUCAAAGCCCUGAUGGUCAGCACCAUUUAGAGUGGUGCAAAUGUUCGCAAGUGGAGCUAUUUAGAUCGAAUCAAAAUAUGGGACAAACAAGUUCUCAGUAAAUAGGCAAAGGUUAAAACAUUACCUUAGAAUAGCUAAAGAAAAAGGGGAUACAGUGGUGAUCAAUUUGAAAGAACCCCAGUACGCGAAUGAGGAGUGAUGGCUCAACUACUUGCGCUAUGCAGCAACGUUAAAUCAGGCAUUGUGUGGGAUGAAACCCAUGAAUGUGUUGUAAGCUUAGUAUGUAACUUCAUGUUUAACCCCCCCCCCCCCCCCCCNNNNNNNNNNNNNNNNNNNNNNNNNNNNNNNNNNNNNNNNNNNNNNNNNNNNNNNNNNNNNNNNNNNNNNNNNNNNNNNNNNNNNNNNNNNNNNNNNNNNNNNNNNNNNNNNNNNNNNNNNNNNNNNNNNNNNNNNNNNNNNNNNNNNNNNNNNNNNNNNNNNNNNNNNNNNNNNNNNNNNNNNCCUCCCCGUUCACCACGAUUGUGGGCAGUACUGCCUCAGACCGCAGUGUGGAGCGCGGUCGUGACCGCGAAAAUCACUAGAGCGUCGAUAAUUCACCGCGACCGUGGCACGAACUGCGGGCAACACUACCUCAGACCUCAGUAUGGACCGCGGUGAACACUGCCUGGGACAUAAAUCCCUCCGCGGCUGCGGAACGAACCGCGGAGGGAGGGGGUACCAGGUCUGUAAAAUCCCUUUUUCUUUUUCCCUUCUCUUCUUCUUUUAAGUUUAAAACAACCUCCCCCCACACACCCCCCCCUUCCCAAAAAAAAUCCCCAAUAUUCCUCUCUCUCUAAACCCUAAUCCUCCCCUCUAUACUCUCUUUUUCUUCUUCUUCCUUCACACUAUCCCUCAUCUUCUUCCGCAAAUGUAUGAUUUCGACCCCCUUUCUCUUUUCUUCCUAUCUUUUGUGUUGUAUGCUACUUCAAUGUUGUAUAAUGUAGUUUUAGUGAUAAGAUUUUUGUUUAGCUUUUUUUCCUCCUUCUUUUCUAGUGUAAUUUCAUUUUUUUAUUGGCAUAUGUUGCUGAAGGGGCUGUGUAUUGAAUGUUGUAUGGGUGUCGUUGGUAGGUGCUUAUUUGUAGCAAGUGUGGGGUGUGUGGGUGCAGUGAAUAUUUGAAUUGGGGAAGUUUUCUUGAUUCCAUUGGGUCAUGUAUAUGAAGAUCCUUGCCAUUUUCACAAUGUGUUUGGGAAAUUACCUCAAUGGAGAUAUAAGGAAAUGUUAUGACAUGGUUGUGGUAAAGUCUGAGUAACCACCCAUAGUCACAUAUUUUGGACCCGUCCUAAUAAAAGUUCUCUAUUCUGACAGGUAUUAUGAGUUCAUCCUGUAAAAGACACAACACCGGUUCCUCUGCUAGUGGUCCUGGAGGUCAUCACGAGCUUGGGGCCAAGCCAGUGCCACUCAGUUCGAUAGAAAUCAGUUUGUUUCUCAAUCUGCAAAGAUGAGGUAUAAUCAGAAAGAUGCAAAGAAGUUACUCCAUGAGGUCCAUAUCGAUCGGGCGAUAUUGGUGAAAGAGUGCCCCAAUAUGUUAAUGAGCUAAGGAGGUUUCAGUUGGACAUCAUCUUUAAGGCUCUCGAGGAGGCCAAUAUUCAGCUAGUGCGAGAGUUUUAUGCAAAUCUGCCAGAGCACGAGGAUGGGGUUUUGAUUGUGCGCAACACUCGGGUUAAUGCUUCUAUAAAGGCUAUCUGUAGAGUGUAUCGCCUCCCCACCUUCACGGGUGAAGAUCACUACAUCAUGUCUCAUCGCCCGACAGUUGACUGGGACAUACUUUGGGAGGUAAUCUUUAUAUCUGGCAGAGUGUCCAAAUGGAUAGCACAACUGAAUACUCUACACUCACAGUCUCUUACUUGGGAGGCCAAGUGUUGGCUCAUGGUCAUCAACACUCAUCUGCAACCAUCCACCAAUACCGUAGAUGUGAAUGGGCCACGAUCACUAUGAUCUACUGCUUUAUGACUCACCAAGGGUUUGAUGUCGCCCCAGUCCUCCAUGACGAAAUGUUUAUUAGAUUGCCAGAGGUAAUCAAGGGUCACUACUUCCCUUCACUAGUUACUCGACUGUGCCGCCUUGGAAGGAUGCCUGAGAAUCUUCAAGUUGACAGGAAAUUACCUCUGAAGGCUCUUUUUCGGGAAGAAAAUUGGACUAGAGAGAAGACUGUCGGUGCAACACAGUGAUGACUCGUCUGAUGAGUCUGAUGAUGAUGCUAGUGCUACUGAGCUACCAGCUCCUCCGAGAGGGGAUGAGGCAGGACCAUCACAGCCAUGCCGGAGCACUCGCAUGGCCGCUUUGGAAGAGGAUAUAGCUGGGCUGCGGACCUCCGUAGCUUACUUGGGGACCCGAAUUGAUGCGGUGGCUGACCGACAGGUGAAGUCAGAAAAGAAAUUCAUGGUCUGGUUUAGAGCCCUAGGUUGCGCCUGCAAUGAAAACCCGGACACAGUUUCAGAUCAAGAGUGAUUCGUCAGGGAAGUUCCUUUACCUCACUUUUUUAUAUUGUCCAGCCAUGAGGACAUGUAUUUGUUUUAAGUGUGGGGUGGGGGAUACUUCAUUGUAUGUUGGUAAUUGUAAUAAUUAACUAUUUCAUUUGAUUGUUUUGAUGUUCGAAUAGUAAUUCAUUAGGUAAGUAGAAAUAGAAAUAGUAAGUGACUUGUCCUGUCAACGGAUCUCUUUUGACGGGGUUCUUGAGGGACUAAGUCGAAAAAUAAAUGGAAUAUAAAGACUCUUUCUGAUGACGAAUCCAUUAGACAAUUUUCUUGAGGGAAGGUAUUCUAGAAAAAGAAUACCAAAAAGAUUUUGUGUAGGUAGUGUAAUAACUCCCCCUUGAUUUUUCUUCGGGCCACGGUUCUUUUCCAAGGGUUUAGCUUGAACCGGGUAUAGGUAGAUUUGUGUUUUUUUUUUGUUUUAAGUUAGGAGUAAUGGGAGACGAGAUUAAAAUUGAAAAACCCUUAGCGUUCUUACAGCUGAACACGAUAGACGCUAGAGUGUAGCGCAUAGCUUCAAGGAUUGAAUCUUAUUUAAGUGCCUUAAAAAUGGUGUGUUUGUACCUAGCUUGAAUACUGAAAGGGAAUAUCUUGAUAAACUAAUCCAGAGUGAGAAGUCAUGUGCCAUGUGUGUGUGAGUGUUACUGUAUUCCAUGUUAUACAUUCGAUGCCUAGAACUUGCGCUCUGUGUUUGCAAAGCGAAAUAGUAGCUUCAUUCCGUUUUAGAAGUGAUAUUGGCAUAUCUUUGCUGAGCUAGAUAUGUAUAUUUUACCCGCCUAAUAGUUAUGUAUCGUAGUUAACACUGUUGAGCUGAUAAUCCUUUCCCCUUUUCAACCACAUUACAAGCCUUACCUAUUUUUUUGAAUUAACUAUCUAUUAUAACCUUUUCACCUCUCAUGAGCACUUGAAUUGUUAUGAACUUUGUAAAACUUAAAGUGUGGGGUGGUUGGUUUGGCUUUUGAGUGGAACUAAUUGAAUAAGAGAAAAGUGCACUGUUUUGGAAAAGGAAGAGCCACUUGAAUUGAAAGAAAAAAAUAUAAUAAUAUUUUCUUGAUAAGUGGUGACUCUUAACGUAAGUGUACUUAAAGAAGAAUAGGGUAGUUCACAUUGAUGAAAAGGUGGAAUUUUAGUUUGACAUAAAUAUGGGGUUUGCAUGUUAAUAUGUAUGUAAAGUGCUUAGGGAGGUGUAGUCACUCUUAUAUCUAAAUGUAUCCUACCCGUCCUGUAGCCCACAUUACAACCAAAUAAAGUCCUAAUUGAUCCAAGAUUGAAUGAGCUCGAUUAGUCGAGUACUAUACUAGGGGCAAGCUUAUGGUGCAUCUUUGUAGCAUGUGAAUGUUCUUUAUAGAGAGUGAGCGAAUUCUGUCUAUUUUAGUUCCUAAUUGUUAUGACUAUCAUUAUAUAUGAAACUACUCUAUUGUGUGAUGUCAGGGCAUGUGAUUCACAAAGGAAAGGUACGUCUUGACACUUAUGUAGAGUGGUUUGAGUAAGUGCAAAUGGUACAGGGUAUGAAAUAUUUGAUUCUUGAGGUAAAAGUUUGCUCACUACUAGGUGUAACUUUUGUAAAAUGUUCACAGUGUGAGUCGUUGAGGGAAAAUUAUAGGGAAAGAAUUUUGAUGGAGUGUGGAGAAUUGCUCGAGGGCUAGCAAUAAUUUAAGUGUGGGGUAUUGAUAAUAGGCUAUACAGUUGAUAUUUACACCUUAAUUGCCCAUGCUUUAUUGUUGUUUUACAAGGUAAUUUGCCAAUAAAAUGCUUUAGAUGGUGCUAAUUAGUUUCGCAGGGAAUACUAUAUGUGAAGAAGCAACAUGAAGUGUUUGGAGGAAAUAAUAUGAAGAAAACACCCACUCAAGAAGUGCUCGAAAAAGAUCAAAAGAAAUGACUGGACAGCGGAGUAGAGCGCGGAGACAAAACACAAAAAUCGGCCCAGGCAAGUGUUCACCGCGGUCCACGGCGCGGCCGCGGUGAACUGUUCACGAUUCAGAUAUUUGAGGGCCGAAGUGUCAGUUCGGGGAAACUUUUGGUAAAACCUUUAUAAGAUGUAGAAACUCGCCCAAGAAAAUAAAGCUUAAUUUUGAGAUUACUUUUCAAAGAAGAACAAGUGUGAGAGAUUACCCAAAACAUCAUAGUUCUUUAUCUCUUCUAUAUUUCUUGCAAUUCUUUCAUUAUGAAUAAUUUUGUAGUUUUAUCUUACGUUGUUAUGAGUAGCUAAAUAUCUUAAUCUAAGGGUUUGGUGAAACCCGUUGGGGAUGACUUGGUUGUUAUAUUAAUAUAGUUUUGAAUUAGUUUUUAAUCAAUAUUUGUUCAUCUAUGUUUGGAUUGUAGUUAGUUGAAAGGGCCCUCGCCUAUCCGCCCAUAUUACUAUGUUUCUGCUUGAGAGAGAGUGCAUAUUUAGGUGAUUGUAUGAACAAAAUCACUCCCGGAGUAUAGACGAGAGCCACAACCGAGGGUUUAGAGGUUGGAUUAGAGAUAAUGAUACCUCGGUUGCAAUCUAAGUGAACCGUAAUGUGAAUCUAGCUAGCGUAUCUUGAGAAAGUGUGUCUAGUAAAUUAUCAUAAUUGCUUGAGAAAGAUUUAUGAUAGCUGGAGCAUUCAUGAUUGAUGGAGACAACUAAGUCUCAGUUAUAAAACAUAUUCAUCCAAGGAAAUCAACGACGGAGGAAAACAUUAGCUUAGACCUUAUUCCAUUUGUUUGCAAAUCAAGAGUAGUUAACUUUCAGCUGUUAUUUAUUUUCAGUUUAGUUGUUAGAUAUAUCAUCAAUUGUGAAUUACAAAGUUUGGGGAAAUUGAUUUCAUAAAUUUAGUAAGUUCGACAAAAGUAAUUGAUAGGUUUAUUCCAUGUGGUUCGACUGUGUGCAAAAAUACUCAAAAUAUAUUUGUUACGUCCGCGUGUGUCUUUUAGAAGGCAUAGUGGCGUUAUCAGCAGGUGCGAGGAUAAAUGCAUGAGAGUUAUAUUGAGUUUUAGCUCUUUUUUCCUAUUUUGAGUUUUGGAGCUUGGGAAGAGGUAAUGAAGAGGCUUUCACUACUACUUUGAGGGUAGAAUUUUGAAGAAAAGUUUGAGAUUUUUGUCUACAAUUUAAAAGGAUAUAUUUUGGAGAUUUGAGCAUCAAUUUAGGCCCGAGUUCAGAAUUUAAUCAUAUAUUUGAACUCGUAGAGUUAUGGGUGGUUGAGAUCUACCUCAAGACUCGGUUUUGACCAUGUAGGUUCCGAUUGACCUUUUGAGAAUUAAUUAAAGAUUGAAGCUUUAUUAUUUGAGAUUACUUUUUAUAGCACUAUUUGACUCGUUUGAGUAAUCUUUGACUAGAUUCGAGUCAUUUGGUGUUGAAUUUGAAAGGAAAGAAAGUUGUUGUUGAUUAAAAUUUGUCGGAAAAAGGUAAGUCUCUUGCCUAAGAGAAAUUUUUUUUCAUCGAUGACAUGUUGCUAUUUGUUGCAUGGUUAAAUGUAUAUGUAAGAUGAUAAGCAUAUAUGUGUAGCUAGAUUGUGACCAUGGACGAAUAUAGUUGGGAUCAUGAUAUGCCUUAUUUGGACUUUAUGAAUUGAUUGUCCAUGUUCGUUUGAUGUUAUAACUACAUUAUAAACUAAAUCAUGAUUAGAAGACAUACUAGGGCUAUGACCUGUUGAUUUGAGAACGACAGACUUAUGUCACCGUGUUGAGAUUACUAGUUUGGUCGUAUUCAUGCAAUCGCCUUACAUGAUUUAUAAUUUAUUAGCUAUUCACUUACUUUGUUGUUGCUGAUAUCAUGAUCGGACUUAAAAAUGUUAAAUAAUGGCCUAGCCAUGUCUUGGUGCAUCUUUAUUAUAUCAUCUCAUAUGUAUAUUCAGGAGACGGAGAGUUGGAUAUUGAGAAAAUUUGAGAAUUUUGGCACCAAUGACAUUGUAAGCGGAUAGUAAUUAUUAAUAAUAUUAUGAUUGGAUAACGGGUUACAUGCAUCAAAGGUAUUAUAUCUGGAUUCAAUUGUACGUUGCAAUGGUAUUAUAUAUGAAUCGGAUUGCAUGUGAACUGAAUUAUAUGCUCAGUAUUAUUAGCGAAUCGGGUUACACGCUAUAACAAUACUUGAAUAUAGAUUUAUCCCACCGGAGUCGAGUGAUCAUCCUAUUACUUUGAGCUCUGUAAGCAGAGACAUUAGAUUGAUACUAGUUUAGACACUUGACCAGUGUUAGGAAUAUGGUUUGUUUAGUGAGGUAUUGAGAUUGGAUAAUGGUCAUGCAUUUGUAAGCUUAGACUCAUGCAUAUAUAUAUAGAGAGAGAGACUCAUAUCAUUAUAAUGAAAAGAAUUAAGAUAAAUGAUGUUGUAUUCUAUCUUUUGUCUGAAAAGCAUGUCUAAAUUUUAUUUUUACUGUGUUUCUACUGGUGGACUUGAUUGAUGAUAUCAUGCUUUAUCCCUUGUUCUAAUUAUAUUUUCAUAUGCUUAUUGAGCUAUUAGUAAGUGUCUGGUCGACUUCUCGUUACUACUUUUUUGAGGCUAGACAUGAUACCUACUGAGUAUUGUGGAUUUGUACUCAUAUUACAAUACUGUACACUUUUUUUUUGCAGAAACUGAGGUUGGUAUUAGCAGUACCCAAUGUAUUAAGUAUGAGUAUUUUGUGGGAGACUUCGUGGUGAGCUAUUUUACUUGACUCGAUCCACAACAUAUAGAGUCUCCCACUCGUUUAUAUUUGUCUAUGUAUUUCCAUUUUCACACAGAUAUUGUUUUUCAUUUGAGACUAUAUACUCUUGUUAGAUGAUCAUGACGAUAUUGUUACACCAAGUCUUGGAAGAGGCUAUGAGACAGUUGUGGUCAUGCUUAGAUUCAGUCGGGGAUUCGUAUAUUUAUGAUAUUAAUUUGAGACUUAUUCUACCUUGUUAUUUAUGAUAUGAAUCAAUUAAUGGCUUAAUAAUUGAAUCAUAUUAUUGUUGUUGAGUGUUAGCUUGCGUAGCAAAUAAGUUAUGUGCCACCACGACUGUUGGUAAGAUUUUGGUCCCUGAUAAAUUUCCACGCCAUGAGAAAUUUGAAUAGUUCCUCUAAUUGGGUUUGUAAGUGUAACGAUACUGAUUUUGAUUCGGUUAGCCUCUAAAUGAAAGUAUAAGCUAACACAUCGUUGGUCUGAUUAUGGUGUGGACAGUCCUUUAACAAUAAUUCUCCCAAACUGUGUACAAUCACAUCUUCUCUCGGUUUGAAGGCAAUUGUCUUGCUUCAGAUCUUUGUAGACUUACCAGGUGAAAAGAACCUUGUUAAAAAUUGCGAGCCAAGUUCUUCCACGAUGUAAUAGAGCUAGCUGGCUCAUUUUCAGUCGCCUAGUGUGAUUUAUGACAUAAUCUCAUGGUGAUGUAGGUGUCAAUAAUUAAUAGAUAUGCCACUGGGAAUCUUCAUAUGAUAGUCCUAUAAAUUGACUAUUUGCAUGUAGUAACUGAAUUAUUUUUCGCUUAAACUUAAAGUGCUCAGUGAUCCUGGUUUAAUAAUACUGGGAGUGAUAUUAGCGAUGCUAGAAAUUUAAAAUUAUAAAAAAAAAAAACUAUUUUUCGUGCAGAAUGGACGCAUUGGGAUGGGAGAAGAAGAUGAGUGAUGCAAAAAAAACGAAAAAAUAAAAUUUUGAAAAUUACAAAAACAAAAAAAAAUUAAAUUUUUUUGCACGGGUGGGUAGGGGAAAGUCAGGGUGGGGUUUGACAAGGUGGGGGUAAGUGGUACAGAAAAAUAAAAAAUAAAAUUUAAAAAUACAAAAAAAAAAAGUAAAAAAAGAUAUUAUUUUUGAAAGGAGGUAGCAGGGUGGGUGGUGACUGAAAAAAAAAGUUUUUUGUGAAAGGGGAUGGAGGCAUGGGCGGGUGGUGUGGGAGUGUGCGGGAUGGGUUGGCGAGGGUGGAGAAGGUUGAGAAGGAGUUUUGGAAAAUAAUUUUUCCUUCUCUUAACAAGAAUUUCCUCCAAUAAUAAAUUCAUAAGAAAAAUAUUUUCCCAAAUAUUUUAGCCAAUUAAAUAUAAAAAAAGGAAAAACGGUCAGAACUGCCCUAACGUAUUGACUACAGUUUAAAAAUGCCCUACGUUAACCUAUUUUAAAAAAAUGCCCCCACCGUUAAAAAUUUGGCAUAUUUUUGCCCCUAAGUCUAACAACUGACUGUACUUAUAUUUAAAACGUAGGGGCAUUUUUUUCAAAAUAGGUUAACGGUACGGGCAUUUUUAAACUGGAGUCAAUACGUUAGAGGCACAAUAUGCCAGAAUUUUAACGGUAGGGGCAUUUUCUUCAAAAUAGGUUAACAGAGGGCAUUUUUAACCUGGCGUCAAUACAUUAGGGGCAGUUCUGACCCAUUUCCGUAGUAUUUAUGAAGCUUUAUCCCUGCCGGCAAAAAUUUCUAAACCCAUCUGUAUAUCGAAACUAUGUCCCACCACAACAGUAAAUCCAACAAAUCCCAACAGAAUAAGGGGCAUUUUUAUACUGACUUUUAGAUUUAGGGGCACAAAUAUGCCAGAAUUUUAAUGGCAGGGGCAUUUUUUUCAAAAUAGGUUAACGGAGGACAUUUUUAAACUGGCGUCAAUACGUUAGGGGCUGUUCUGACCCUUUUCCGUAUAAAAAAUUAAAAAAUAUUUUCCAAAAAUAUUUUAAUUCGUACCAACACACGCGGAGGGUUUCAUUCUUUUAAUAGGGCGGUGCUGCUUCAUUCCUCUUUGUUCUUGUGGCGUUUUAAUUGUCAAACGGUUUCCAUUAAGCAUGAAAUCUUUGAAAACAUUAUCCUAUUUUAUGGGUGUCCAAUGUCAAAUAAUACACCGCAUUCAUUAUGGACCGUUGGAUCAUUAUCCCUAAUCCUGUUUGCACUGACUUUAAUUUCUCUCCCAAUAGAAAUAGUGUUCUACGGACUACGCUAUUAUAUAUUCCUAUAUGUAAUGAUUGAAAUUGAGUUAUACAUUUUAUUCCUAUAUGUGAUGAUUGAAAUUGAGUACUCCGAAUGAGCAGAAUUCAGAAGUUGUGAAUUAACUGUUUUUUUUUUGUGUUUGAUAAAAUUUGAAUUCGUGUCAGAAAAUUUUAUAUUACGAGGUGAAUCACUCCCUAGCAAAGACGAUUUCAUAUCUAAGGAUUCAAAUCCGAAAUCUCUUAUUAAAGCUAAAAAGUAUAUUUAUUACUUCACCACAAUUUUUAUUGGUUGAAUUAACUUAUCCUACACCGAAGAAAGUUUGCACAAAAUGCUAAAAAAAAACCAAAAAAUUAAUUUUGGACCUUAAAAGAAAAAUUAGAAGUCAAAGCACUUUCACUAAUAUCAGAUAGUAGAAAAACACAAAUGUGCAAUAUCGUCUGAGGGGACAAGAAACAAUUAGAUUGUUCUAUAUCCAACCUAAUAAUGAAAUAUUAGUCUUUUUUACGCUGAUCUAACAUCAAAUCAAAACUAGUUUCGUUGUCUUUAAACUAAAUAUAUUUAUUUAGAAACAAAAAUGCAAUCAUCCAAAAAAAUACUUAUCAAACAUUCAAACUCACAUUUUUUUCUCAAGCGGAAUGUAACAUAUGGAUGGUAAAUGUCUUAGGCGUAUGUAGUAUAUACUAUAUAGGUGAGGGGUUCAAUUGAACUCUUAACUUGCAAUGUUGAGCAUAAAUAUAAGUGAAAAUUUACUAAAAUUACAACAAAAAAUAUAUAUAUGAACCCAUAAUUUUAAGAAAAUAAUGAAUUUAAUGUUAAAAUUUUUAAAAGUUAACACAAAAAAUUUAAAUUCUGAAUUUGUCGUUACUAAACUUAAGUUACCCAACUACUUUCAGUUUGAAGUUGAACUACAUAACACGAUAUUUUUCUUAUUUAAACUUUGAAUUCACACUUGAUCACACAUGCUGUUACAUACUCUCUUUUUUCCCAUUAGGUUUAGGAAGUAACGAACACCAAAACGUAUUCUCGUCGAGGGGUGAAGCUAUAGCGCAUCAAGGAUGAUUCCUUCGUCAAAAAAUUAUAUAUAUAUAUUCUUUAUUAAAUUUUUUUUGAAUAAAUUCCUGAUUUCGCCGUGUUCUCGUUUCUUAGAUGUGAGGCCCUUAUUUGAGUUGUCUCUGUUGACUCAACAGCUUCUUCAACUUCAAGUACUUAAGAAUUUGUACACAGCUGGGGGAGUCGGCAAAGUACAAGAAAAUAUAGAGGUGGUCCUUAGACAAAUAAACUUUCUGUGUGAUAUAUUCAAUCAAUCAGAAUCAGGGUCAAGUGUCACUUUUCCAACUACCAACUCUAGCAAAAAAUAUAUACCCCCCUCUCCCCCCCAAAAAAAUAAAAAUGAAAAGUUGCUUGGCCUAUAUUUCGUGUAAAUAUUUCCGACAAAAGUCAUGUCAGAAAAGAAAAAAAAAGGCCACAUAAAUCUUGAAUUGUUGUUUGAUUAGAAUGACUUUUUCCUAUUUAAUCAGCAGUAAGUUUGAAUAGUGUUGCAUUUGUAUAUGGAAAAGUUGAAAUGUGCUCAAAGUUCGUCGGUGGAAUAGUUUAUUAUUUAUAGAGUUGGGGGCAUCUCGAUCAAAAGAGGAAAAAAGGAAAUUUUCUUAAAGGAGUGACACAAAAAUAUGUAAUGCAUGUAUAUAGGUUGGAAUUUGUCAUUUUAAUUUGCAAAUUCGUUUGCCCCACCACUUGAUAAUGCUAGAACAGAGACACGGUUUAAACAACAACAACAACUCCUUACCCAUACUCGAAAGGACAGAGAGGCUAUUUCCAAUCGACCCUCAGCGCACGGUUUAAGAUAUUAAAUAUUGACAAUAUUUUUGAAGAAAAUGACAUAAAUCAUACACUCAUUCCUAUGGUUUUUUUUAUGCUGCGUUCUUUAUAAAGUGAAAAGGAACGUUUCAUUUUAUAUAACUUCGUUAUUUCUCCUCUCUUUUUGUUUGGGUGGGGUAGAGCUGUCUAACGGGAGAGUUCUGAGUACUUAAGGGAAUUUGGUAAGAGACGGUACCGGUAAAGGGAUUUCUUAAAUUGAAAUUUUAAAAAAUUAUUAUAUUUAGAUAUACACAAACUUUAAGGGAUGAAAAAAAAUCUAUUAAUUAGCUUUUGUUUUAUUUAAUGCAAUGUAAAUAUUAAGUUUCUAUACAAGUAUUUAUCUAUAUUUCAAUACUUGUAAAAAUAAAAUUACAUUUUUCUUUAAAUAAUUUACAUAAUUUUUAUAAAUAUUUUUUCAUGGUUUUCCGGUUGGAAUUGGUCCAAUAAUGAGCAACGUAAAGUCGUAAACUAUGGAAGGGUAUGAUUUAAUGUUUUAAAAGAGAGAGACUCAGAUCUGAAUUGCUCCCUGAUUAAGGAAAGGCCUGAUUUGAAAUACUUAUCAAAUAAAAGUCAUCAGUCGAAACAAUAAUCUAGUAAAUAUAAUUGCUUUAAAAGGAGCCAUCAAUUUUUAGAGAAACACUAAUUUAAACAUGUUUCGUAGGAAAAGAUAAGAGAGCUGUAAUUUUAUUAAGGAUAUAUUUUUAAAGAAAAUAUAAGGGCAUCGGUUUGAUAUAGGAUCGAUACGGGUUCGGUGCUUUAAGGGUACCAACCAGAUCGUUUCUAGCGAUACUUUUUCUAGUACCCUCCCACUCCAUUUUCCCUUGGCCUAAAUCUCUUACCCCUAACUCCCAAUCGAAUCAAAACGGAGCGAUAUCGAUAUCGAAGCGAACCAGACCAAUCUCGGAUUGUUCCCUCUCCUUAAACAGUCUUAGGUGGGGGUAUGUUGAAGAUAAGAACCCCCAUGUUGAUUCAAAGAAUAAUUCACAGAAUAAUGAAGAAGUAAGAGAAAAGAAGAAGUAAGAAGAAAUUUCGAAGUCUCCAAGGAAUUAUUUGAGCGUAUAUCUAAAGAAAUUUGCUGAGACACUAAUCUCAUUUUAAGGAGAGACACGUGUCAAAAUCAUAAGCAUUGAUGUUAAAACUCUAAAUUCAUUUGGGACGUUGAUUUGAUGAGAGAAGGAUAAAUUACAGCCAUUCACUUAAUGCUUCUCAAAUCAGAUGAGAAAGGUUCUAGAAUUUUCGCACGUGAAUGGCACAUGCACACACAUGGUUAAGAAUAUAUCCUUUAGUUAGUCGGUCACACAUUUAGUCAAUAGAAAAUAGUACAAAUGUAUAGGAAUAUUUUAUUUAUAUUCUCUUGUAUCUAUACUAUAUACUGAGGCUACACUGAAUAAAAAUUACACAGAAGAAAUUCACAAUCUCAGCAUUUUCUUUCAUGGUAUUAAGAAGAUUUAGCUCGAUCCAUUCACAAUUCAUAUCAAGUUUUCAUCAAAUUUUCUUUCUCGUAUCUAUCUUUGGAUUCAAUCAUGAUUCGUACAGAAGUUUCAACUGUUGUCUCUAUCUCUGGAUCAAUAAGCAUUGGAGUUACCAAUGACUCCAAUCACCCGUAUUGCUUGCACUCUUAUGAUACUCCAGGAAUGGGUCUGGUGAACUCAUGUUUCUAUAGAAGAGGAUUCCUGAGAUAGAAGAGAUUUGUCCUUAUUGCAUUCUCAGCCAAGAACAAACUUGGCUUCAUCAUUGGAUCUUGUGUGAAGCCAACAAUGGAUGACAAUAAUUAUCUAUUGUGGAGUAGGUGCAAUGACAUGAUCACCUCUUGGUUGCUCAACUCAUUGACCAAAGAUAUAGGUGACAGUGUCAUUCACUUAAGAACAACUAAGGACCUUUGGAGCGUCCUGGAACAUGGGUUUUGGGCAGUCAAAUGGAGCAAAGCUAUACCAUCUACAUAAGGGAAUUUCAAAACCAAUUCAGGGAAGUAGCAGCAUAUCAGGUUAUUUCACCACUCUUAAGAGACUAUGGGAUAAGCUGAACUCACUUAACUCACACUUAGGGUGCACUAGUGCAUGUAACUGUGAUGGUAAAAAGAAGAUAGCUAAGUUCAUGGAAGACCGAAAGGUCAUUCAAUUCCUAAUGGUACUGAAUGAUGCUUAUGCACAAGCAAGGGGAAACAUUCUAAUGCUCAGUCACAUUCUUGGCAUAGAUCAAACUUACUCACUCUUACUACAAGAUGAGAGCCAAAGGGAGACCUAUAUGAGCACACAAUAUCCUAUUGAUGGGGCUUCUUUUAUGGUAGGAUCACAGAACAAAUUACCACAAAAUAACCAAAUGCAAGAAGGUUGGACUUCUCAGCAAAAGUCAGGAAAGACACAAUAUAAGUCUGAGACAAAAAAAUUUAAGUUUAAUCCCAAUGUUACUUGCAUCCAUUGCUCAAAGAUAGGACAUGUAAGGGCUGACUACUAUAGACUUAUAUGAUGCCUUGAUGAAUUCCAAUUUACUAAGGGUGGAAAUUUUCAAGGAGCAACAAUAAAAUCAAAUGUUGUAGUUUCAUAUCAUGGGUGAUGAAAGUCUGGUGAGAGCAAUGAAGGAAACAACAAUCAGACAUAAUUUUUCAAUAAAUAACAAGUCUCUGAACUGGUAAAGAUAAUCAGACAAGUGCAGGUUGGGAGUACGGGAUAUGCAACCUCAGAAAUUAGUACCAAUGGUGUUACUGGAAAUAUUCUCAAAUAUUCAGGAACAUAUCUUGUUGUUUUUAAUACUAAAACCUAGAUAACUGAUUCAGGUGCCUCAAAACAUAUGUGUUUUGAUUUCAAGUCUUCCCUAACUCUAACACGCUUACGUGUGCCUUUACAUAUAAGUUUGCCUAAUUCUUUUCAGCUGUUUGUCACACACAUAAGGCAGAUUUGCAUUCAUCCAAAUAUGAUUCUAGAAAGAGUUCAUUAUGUCCCACUUUCCAAUAUAACUCACUACAAGAAAACCUUAGAUUACAUGGGGAUUUUACAUGGGAAUUUUUCCAAUAACUCCUAGGUUCUAGAAUAAUUACCUGCCAAAUUCAAUUUUUUCAGGUAAAUCCGCAAAUAAAUUUGUCGCCAUUUAGCGCAAAAUAUUACCUGGGGAUUUAUUUGGAAAAAUAAUUUCCAAGUAUCAUUUUCGUGGGUAAUUUUGCAGGUAAAUAAUGAAAAAUAUAAAAAAAAUAUUUCCUUUGUGAUUUCAUAGGAACUUCUCCAGGUAAUGUUACUUGUGAAUUUAGUUAGGAAUAAUUUCUUGCGAAUUUACAUGAGAAUUAUUUUAUCUAGGGAAUUACCUUGGGAUUUGUUGUUGCGGUUUUAGUUGGGGAUUAUGUCUUGAGAAUUUACCAGGGGAUAUUAUUACCUCGGAAAUUACCUGAGAAUAUUUGUUUGUAAUAUUAGUUGGGGAUUAUUUCUUAGGGGUUUACAUGAAGAAUUUAUUACCGAGGGAUUAACUUGUAGAUUUUAUUGUUGCAAUUUUAGUUGGGAAUUAUUCUUGAGGAUUUACAUGAAUAUUUUUUAGUUAGAAAAUUACCUAGAAACUUUGUUGCUGCAAUAUUAGCUUGAACUAUUUCUUAAAAAUUUACUUGAGAAUUUUAUUAUUGCAAGUUUAGGUGAAAAUAUUUUGUUUGUAUUUACCUAAAAAAUCUAUUACCUAAGAAAUUAAUUGAAGAUUAUUUGUGCGAUUUUGGGUGAAAACUUAUUUUUGUGAACUUAUUUGAGUAUUUCAUUGAUAUGGUUUUGAUUGAGGAUUUCUUCUUUAAAUUUAUUUGAGAAAUUUAUAAAUGUUGAUUUAGUUUGACAUAUAUUAACUUGAAAAUUUAUCUGAAAAUUUUAUGGCCACAUAUUUAUCUUUGAAAUUCAUUCAAUACAAUUUAAAAAUAUUAAAUAGAAGAAAAAAUUAUUUUUAAUUUAAAAGUUAUUUUAAGAGUUACAAAAAUAUGAUAUGUAAAAUUAUCCUUCAAUAUUGAUUAUAUCUUUUUAAUAUUAUUUAUAGGUAAAUAGUUAAAAUGUUGAUCCUACAUAAAACUUAAUUGUGUGAAAUAGGUUGGAUUGAAUAUUACAAGUCAUUGAGCAUAAUAUAGCUGGUUAUUACUAUUUUUGAACAAAUUUAAUGUCAAAAUAAUUAUCAUAACUCUAGUUAUUUUAAGAAUUAAAUUUUUUGAUAUGGUUGAUAUAAAGGGAUUAAAAAUUAUCAUAACUCUCUCAUGCUCUCGACGUAAGUUAGAUUAACCUGUGCCGGUGUGAAAAUGGCAGGAGCGAGAGGCUGUGGUGGUGUCCAAGGUAGAGGAAGAGGCCAUCCACCAAAAAUUAUAACAACAACUUUAAGUAGGAAGACAAAAAUGAUGAAGAACCAAAGGAAGAUAAGGAAGCAGAGGUACAAUCGAUACAUGCAAACAAUGGAUCUGGAGCUAGGAGUCAAAUUGAAGAACCAGAAGGGUCUCAAUAGAGAUUUGAGAUGGCUAUGAAGGAACGAUAAACAGGAAAGGAUAUAGAUAAAAGGAAUGAGAUAAGUUCACAGAUGCAAACCAACAGAACAAUAACAAUGGUAGAAGAAAGCAAGGAAGAAGCUAAGGAGGAGGUGAGAGCAGCAUGGACGAGCCUAUUUGUGAAUAAUAGAGUAGAUGAAAAUGGUAUGAAACUAACCUACAUACCUCCACAAGUGGUAAAUGGUGAAAUAUAGUACAAUUAGAUAAGGAAGAAAUCGAUAGAGAAACAGAGAAAUGGAAAGGGGCUUUAAUUGUGUAUGUUCUAGGUGAUUUUCAAGGAUAUAAUGUAAUGAAGAGAUAUAUAGAAAACACAUGGAAUACAAUUCCAGAUCCAAAGUUAUAUAUGCAUAAGGAUGGUUAUUAUGUAAUUAAAUUUAAAACAAUGGAAGAUAUGCAGGAAAUUGUUUUAGCAGGUCCAUAUACAAUCAAUAAUAGGCCAAUUAUAAUUAAACAAUGGACAGCUGAUUUUGAUAUUGAGAAGGAAUUUCCCACUGAGUUCCAUUAUGGAUUAGAUUUCCGAAACUCUCAUUGAACUUAUGGGGAGUGAACUCACUAAGUAGUAUUGCAAGCUCUAUUGGUACACCUAUGUAUACUUAUGAAUGCACUGCAAAGCAACUAAGAGAAUCAUAUGUUAGAAUGCUAAUAGAGAUGGAUGUGACAAAUCCUCUAAAGGAUUAAACAAUAGUGAAAGAUUUAAAUGGAAAAAUAUUUUUUCAAUCAGUACUCUAUGAAUGGAAACCAAAAUUAUGUGAAAAGUGUCAAACCAUUGGGCAUGAUUGCAAGCAGGAAAGAGGAAGGCAGAUUCAUGAAUACCCAGAAUGAACAGAGAAAGCCAAAGAAAGUAGUGCAAUACUGGGUUUCAAAGGAAAAAGGGAAAACAAAAGAGAUUGAACAAGAAACUGCCCUAGAGAAAGGAAUGAUACAACAACAAGAGAGUAGAAGAAUAAUGGAAGUAGGACAAGGGUCAAAAGAAGCAAAGAAGCAGAAAUCAAUAAGCAAUGAAGUUCAAACACCAGGGAAUACAAGGAAAGAGGUGGAAAGUCAAAUCCCAGAGUCUAAUUACAUUCAUUUCCCAAUCUUGGUAUCAGUACCACUAAGGAAUGAAUUCUAAAUAUUGAGUCGAGAGGGGAAGGGUGCACACACAAUACCUCCAGACAUAGGAGGUAAGACAGGGAUAUCCUUAUGAACUGGUUAGUAUGAAAUAUAAGGGGAGUUAAUAAAAGGUACAAGCAGAAAAAACUGAAGUAACUUCUGACAACAAAAAAAUAAAAAAAAAUAUGGAUAGCUGGUAUAGUUGAAACAAGAGUAAAACUGGAAGUAUAACAAAAAAUAUAGCAACAGGGUGAAGUAGUGUGAAUAAUUUUGCAUCAGUCAGGAAUGGAAGGAUCUAGGUAAUGUGGGAUGAUAAUACCUACCGGGUUACUAAGAUAAAGGAAAAUGCUCAAAUGAUACAUUAUGAAGUUAUAGAUAAUGAUGGUCAGGUGGACUGUUUGAUGACUAUCAUAUAUGGUUUUAACAUAAUUGGGAAAAGGAAAGACCUAUGGGAAGAACUGAAAUACUAACUCAAGGUAUCAACAAACCUUGGAUAGUGAUAGAUGAUUUUAAUGCAGUUAUGUAUGUGCAGAUAGGAAUCAAGGCAAUCCAGUCCAAUAGGGUGAUGUACAAGACUUAGUAGAAUGCAUACAACCAACCUAGAUGAACUGUUGUAGAAAGGAGAUUACUAUACAUAGAGUAACAAGCAAAGAAUGAAAGAUAGAAUACAAAGUAAAAUUGAUAGAGUCUUUGGGAAUUAUGAAUGGAUGAUGGAAUAGGAAAAUGUAAUAGUGGAAUAUGAGCUUCCUGAGAUUUCAUAUCAUGCACCAAUGCUACAAAAGAUGGAAGUGGAUCAAGCCAAUUAUAGGAGUACUUUUAGAUUCUUUGAUAUUUGGGCAGAUCACAAUGAAUUUACACAGUUAGUAGAAAAAACUUGGCAACUGUGUCAAGAUCCUUGGCUAAUGAGAGGAAUAUGGAGAAAGUUGAAAAGGCUCAAAACUAUAUUGAAGACACUGAGCAACAGAGAAUUUAGGAAUGCUAAGCAAAAAAUGUAAGAUACUAGGGAAGAAAUAAAGAAAAUACAAAGUCAAAUGCAGCAAAAGUUUGAUGAUGUAUUACAAGCUCAAGAGAGGGAGGGACAGCAGAAAUUAGAAAAGUGGUCAAUGAUAGAAGAAAGCAUUAUGAAGCAGAAAUCAAGGGACAAAUGGAUAAAACUAGGAUAUGCAAAUACCAAAUACUCCUCAAUAGUAAUGAAAGAAAGAAAGCACAUGAGACAAAUAAAAGAACUAAUGGGAUUAGAUGGUAACAAAUAAACAAAUAGAAUGGGAUUCAGGAAGAAGUUUUGAGAUUUUAUGAAGGCCUUACGAGCACAACAACUAGGAAUCUAAUAGCAAUUAAUAGAACAUUAAUGAAAAAAGGGCCUACGUUGAACAAGGAACAGAGAAUGAUGCUAAACACAGAAGUAACUUGACAGGAAUUGUAUGAAGGGCUAAAAGAAAUAGGAGAUGAUAAGACACCAAGGAUAGAUGGCUAUAAUGCAGUGUUUUAUAAGAGAACAUGGCACAUUAUAGGUGAUGAGGUGACUAAACCAGUGCAAGAGUUCUUCAGUACAGGAAGAUUGUAUAGGGCUAUUAAUUGUACAACCAUAACUUGAUACCAAAGAUACAGAAUCCGGUAACAAUUAAAGAAUACAUACCAAUAGCAUGUUGCACAGUGCUAUACAAGAUGAUCUCAAAGAUAUUGGCAACUAGAAUGCAGAAGAUACUAGGAGGAAUUAUUUGUGAAGCACAAGCUGGAUUUGUACUAGGGAGGAGAAUAUGAGACAACAUUGUUCUGGCCCAUGAAUUAGUUAAAGGUUACACAAGGAAGCACAUAACACCAUGAUACAUGAUAAAUAUUGACUUACAAAAGGCCUAUGAAGCAGUGAAUAGAGUUAUUUGGAGCAGGUUAAAGUUGAUGGGAUUCCCAUAAAGAUACAUAGCAUGGGUGAUGGAGUGUAUUAAAACAAUAAACUACAUAAUCAUGGAGAACUAACAGAAUCCUUUAAUGCUAAGAAGGGUUUGAGGGAAGAGGAUCCUAUGUCACCUGUCUUGUUUGCAAUUGCAAUUAGCUGGCAGCAAGCCAAGGCUAAUCAUCGGUGCUCUUUAGUUCUUUCAUUCUUCUUACUUCUACCUUCAUUGGUAUGUCCUAGUUUAAUUUAAAGCCUCAACAACAACAUGCUUCUCUUCUUAUUUCAGUUUCUUCUAUUUCUAGCUUGCUUUUACUUGUGGUUAUUGUGAAGUUUGUAAUUAGGUUAUAUUAUCAACGUAUGCCUCCCCUCCCUUUAAAUUCAUGUAUUUCCUUAUGUCAUUCAAGCAUGCCUGGACAAUUGUUUUUUACCUACUAUGUACUUACCAUUCUUAUGGAUCAAAUCCCUAUCCCCCUAUUUGUUUAUGUUCUCCAUUAUUAGUUUGUGAUUAUGCCAAUUUCAACUAUUUAUGAGCAUGUCCAAACCAGUCCCCCUUGAUCCACUGCUGAACUCAUUUGGGUUCUAUAUGUGAUCCUAUCCUAAAGUGUUUGAUUUUUUUAUCACUUCAACCUUUUUCAAACAACCUCUAUUACCUUACUGAUUGCUUUCAAAAUAGACUUUCAAAACCAGGCUUUAAUAGAUUUCUUUCAACCUAUGCCUUGCACCUCAACUUCACUCUUAAUUAAUAAGUGUUGCCCUCUCUAGUAUGUGUACCUCCUUGGGAUCCUCUUGAGAAGCCUCUGAACUCUGAGAUACUGAGGCUGGACUUUUCACACUGCACUGGUUCAAUGCUUGGUUACUAAGUCUAGGUGUAAGCAUUGCCCGAGGUCCUUGAGACCCUUAGGAAACUUUGAUGCAACUAGACUCUGAUUUGUCUAUGAAAAUGAGGUUUGAAAGACCAUUAGAGGCUUUGGGAAACUUGGUCCUAAUUGCAGGAUCUCAAUAGAAUAGCUUCUUGAUUUUCUACUUUUAUUUAUGUAAUUCAUUUAUUGGCAUGUAAUAAUUUAUAAACAGAGUAUUCAGUAAAAGGGUGGGUAGAUGUAUACUUUGUGGCGUAGCAUGGGUAGAAUCCUGCACUUAGGGUUUAUUUUCAAAUCUGUCUGCUUCACUCAAUAGAAAACAUGUCCAUAGGGUUUUAUUCUUAUUGAAUUUGAUUGCUUUUUUCACAAUAGAAUCAUGCCUAAAAGACUCCACUUUUUGUUUCAUUUACAUCACAAUACAGAAUCAUGACUAUAGGAUUUCACUUAUACUAUCAUUUGCAUCAAUUAGAAAUCAUGCCUAUAAGGAUGUCACUUUUAAUGUCGUCUGCAUCAGAUAGAAACCAUGUUCAUAAAAAAUUCUGCAUUUGUCAUGUUAGAAAUCAUGUUUCUAGGUUCCAACCAUCAUGUCUUAAAUCAAUUCAAAUAUAGAUACCAUGUCUGUAGGGUUUAAUUCUGAUUCAGCUCUAAUUAAGUCUUCCAUACGUUACUGCCAGUUGACUAAAACCUGUAACGCACCUAGAUAACGCAUGUAGGAAUUUCCAUUUGCAAUUACGUCUGGUAAUCUAAUUAAUCCUAAUAAGUCAAUUUCAUUUCGCCCAGGUUACCUAUUAAGCUGGCCUUAUUAAAAGAUGACAUUUACUGAAAAUAGUUCUUUCAAAAUUGCUUUAAUCUCAUUAGAUAUCCUGCCCACAUGUAUUAAAAAGGUUUAUUUUGAAAACUUUUUUGUUUCUGCAUUAAUAUAGACACAGUACUGCAUAUAGGCACGCCUUAGGGCAUUUUCAAAACUUGCAUUUCCUUGAAGUUGUUUCUGUCGUUCAAUGUUGCUGAUUCUAAUAAGUUGUUAAAGAGGAGUCCUUAGACAACUACUAGAUUAUAUCUUCUGGAUCUAAAAGCUGUCUAUUUCUACAUAAUUAUUUGAAAAUUUUGCUUUAGUACUUUGAUUAAUGAAGACCUUAAUUGUGAUUCAGACGUGUUAUUUUUAUGUAUGUUUGAUAAGGAACAGUGAGCCUCUUAAUUGCUCCCAUUACGUGAAAGUCCUAAAUGUUUUUGACUGUCUCCUUAGAUUCUUGCCUUUAAAACCUUAGGGGUAUGUCUAUAGCUACCUAUAGGUAAAGGUACUAACUCCAUCUGGGAUCGUUAAGAAGGGAUGGGUAGUAGCACGCACUAGGUAUCAGUGACCAACCACUCGUUUUGCAUGGCCAAUUAGGGGAUGAGAAGGGUAGACAUGAGAUGUGAUGACUACGCAUUAAUGUCACGUGUAGCCCCUCAUUAAGGAGUGCCUACCAGAUAUUGCGUGGGGUGAUCCUAUAGGAUAAACAACCUAGGACCCUCCUUACACCAAAUCCUCUCUUCGUUUAAAACUUUGUUUUUAUAAUUUAUUCAAACUUCUAUUUUCACUACUUCAGUCGUUCAAUGUGCUUUACAACUAAUUUGUUUCAAAUAUUUCUAUGGACUAAUUUGUAAAUAUAAGUUCGGCUGGGACCCAUAGUUGAGGACCAAGAGGGGUGCCUAAUAUCUUCCCCUCGAGGUUACUUCGAGCCCGUACACUAAUCUUUGAUAAUGCGAACCAACCCAACAGUUAACUAUUCUAGGUGCCCUAACGCACCUUAAUUCGUUAGGUGACGACUUUUCAAACACCCAAUUCCCAAAAGAAAAUGAGUCACCAUUCCCGUGAAUGUCGAAAACUGGACUUCUCCCCGCAGGGGGGAGGAAGGGGGAAGGGGAGCGGGAUAAUGCUGAUACGUAACAUAAUAUUAAUGGUAAUAUUUAGGAUAUACUGAUACUAAUUAUUAAUAGUUAUAAGGGCUAACAUAUAUAUAUAUAUAUAUANNNNNNNNNNNNNNNNNNNNNNNNNNNNNNNNNNNNNNNNNNNNNNNNNNNNNNNNNNNNNNNNNNNNNNNNNNNNNNNNNNNNNNNNNNNNNNNNNNNNNNNNNNNNNNNNNNNNNNNNNNNNNNNNNNNNNNNNNNNNNNNNNNNNNNNNNNNNNNNNNNNNNNNNNNNNNNNNNNNNNNNNNNNNNNNNNNNNNNNNNNNNNNNNNNNNNNNNNNNNNNNNNNNNNNNNNNNNNNNNNNNNNNNNNNNNNNNNNNNNNNNNNNNNNNNNNNNNNNNNNNNNNNNNNNNNNNNNNNNNNNNNNNNNNNNNNNNNNNNNNNNNNNNNNNNNNNNNNNNNNNNNNNNNNNNNNNNNNNNNNNNNNNNNNNNNNNNNNNNNNNNNNNNNNNNNNNNNNNNNNNNNNNNNNNNNNNNNNNNNNNNNNNNNNNNNNNNNNNNNNNNNNNNNNNNNNNNNNNNNNNNNNNNNNNNNNNNNNNNNNNNNNNNNNNNNNNNNNNNNNNNNNNNNNNNNNNNNNNNNNNNNNNNNNNNNNNNNNNNNNNNNNNNNNNNNNNNNNNNNNNNNNNNNNNNNNNNNNNNNNNNNNNNNNNNNNNUAUAUAUAUAUAUAUAUAUAUAUAAUAUAUAUAUGUGUGUGUGUGUAUAUAUAUAUAUAUAUAUGUAUAUAUAUAGAGAGAGAGAAGGUUGCCUUGAUAAUACAAUCAUUCUAAAAAUAAAAAUAUUAGCACAAUAUAAUUUUUCAUCUAAAUAUUUCUAAUUAAUUCACUUGGAAAUUUAUGGGGAUUUACUUGUAGAUAUUUCCUU